GUCUACAUCCAUGCCACCCUGAACAUGCCCAAUCCCAUUUGACCUCGGAAGCUAAGCAGGGUCAGGCCUGGUUAGUACCUGGAUGGGAGACCACCUAGGAAGAUUAGGUGCUGUAGGCA
This 119-nucleotide ribosomal RNA is filed under the name Pteropus alecto (black flying fox). The record is from RNAcentral. Lineage: Eukaryota; Metazoa; Chordata; Mammalia; Chiroptera; Pteropodidae.